CAAUCAUCAAUCCAAAUAUAUUAUAAAGGUAGUUACAAUGUGAGUUCUGAAAUGUGAACAGUAAAUGGUAUGAUUAGUAAUAGAUUUGAAUUUGGUUGUUACAAGUAAAAUAUUAGAAUGAAUGUAUUACAUUGAAUUUUUGUGGAAAUGGUUACCGUAAAUAUAAUGUGGUAAGCUUUUGGUGGAAACUGUGUUUAAUGAAAUCUUCAAAGGAUCUCCAUUGGAUUCUUCAAGUAUAACUAAAAGAUUUGCUGAGGUAUUAUUAAGAAAUGCUCGAGGAACAUGGUACCAUGUUUGUGAAGGAUGGCCUUUGGAUGUGAGAAAUGAAAUCCAAUAGCGACCUAUGCUUUGUCCGUUGACCCAUGCUUGGCCUUUGCCCAUUGUGGUAAGGUUUAAUAUCACUGGAUCAUUUCCUUCUGGUGCCUCAAAUUCUGUCUUAAACCAAGUAAGGGGCUGAGCAGUGGAGAGAUCAGCUUUCCUCCAAUCAACACUAUCCAAAAGUUCCUCUCUGUAUAUCUGUAUGUUCUCUCCAACCAGCCCUACCUGAUAUCCCCACUGGUAAUUAGUCGUAAAGUUGUACAAAUCCUUUUCUUCAGUGCAUUGAAUUUCCACUCUUGUUAAUCCAGCAUAUCUCUUCUCCAGAAAAGCUCCCGAAUCCGGUAGUCCAACCAUAACACUCAGAAUAGAAAUAUUAUUGGUCAUUCCGUUGUCGUUUAAGACUAUCUUCACUUCCAUAAUAAAUGGGCCCUUUCCAUUUUUACUUCCAUGAGCUGAUCCUGCAUAUUUGUUGUUGACAAAAGCAUAUGCAACAUGAGCAAGAGACUCCACAUGGAGUAGAGGUUGAGUGCAAGAGGAAGUCGGUUGAAAGCUGAAAGUAUACCAAAGAUAAUCAGAUUUAUCUUUGGUUGUAUUCAUGUGCUCCAACAAAGUUUUGGAUCUUAUUGCGGUAUCUAAGUAGUUGGGGAUAACAUCUGUGUAUUUUUCCCACUUAUCAACACCAUUCAUUUUGCAAGUUGAUGUCAUGAUUCUCUUGUUGGACUCGACGUUUACCUUGGCAGUGUUGAAGAGUAUAUUUUGACAGUCCGGUAAAAUACUAAUCGAUUUAGGAAGCAACUCGUAUGAUUUAUUUCUAAAUUCAACAGUUGCAUUGUUUGAAUUAUUAUUGACAAGAAAUGCAGCGCAUCCUCCUCCUUGUGUCUCGAAAACAUAUGCCUGUUGAAGUGGACCCAAGGAGAGAUUAGUUUGUGCUCCCUCUAGUAAAGUUGAAGAGCAAGACUUGAUUACAGAAUGCAGCUCCUUUAGAUGGCCCCAUUUGGGUUGCCUAAUUAAACCAUAUUCAUCAAUGGGAGCUUGAUCGUAAUAACCUGUUAUGACAUAAGCUGAUGCUGUUCUGCCGAAAUUCGUUCCACCAUGAUACAUGUAAUAG
RNAcentral lists this unclassified non-coding RNA (1426 nucleotides) under Hevea brasiliensis (rubber tree). The record is from RNAcentral. Lineage: Eukaryota; Viridiplantae; Streptophyta; Magnoliopsida; Malpighiales; Euphorbiaceae.